RNAcentral lists this ribosomal RNA (256 nucleotides) under uncultured bacterium. RNAcentral describes it as "partial 16S ribosomal RNA". It matches the Rfam family "Bacterial small subunit ribosomal RNA", at positions 524 to 778 of the family's 1533-position model. The record is from RNAcentral.
UACGUAGGGUGCAAGCGUUAAUCGGAAUUACUGGGCGUAAAGCGUGCGCAGGCGGUUUUGUAAGUCUGACGUGAAAUCCCCGGGCUUAACCUGGGAAUUGCGUUGGAGACUGCAAGGCUGGAGUCUGGCAGAGGGGGGUAGAAUUCCACGUGUAGCAGUGAAAUGCGUAGAGAUGUGGAGGAACACCGAUGGCGAAGGCAGCCCCCUGGGUCAAGACUGACGCUCAUGCACGAAAGGCGUGGGGAGCAAACAGGAU